CGAGUCGGUCGGACGGUCGCGUCGCUGGUAGCAGCGCCGAGGAACGUCCGGGCUCCUCAGGGCAAGGUGGUGGCCAACAGCCACCCGGGGUGACCCGCGGGACAGUGCCACAGAGAGCAGACCGCCUCUCCCGGGAAACCGGGAGCGGUAAGGGUGAAAGGGUGGUGUAAGAGACCACCAGCGGGCCGGGUGACCGGUCCGGCUAGGUAAACCCCACCUGGAGCAAGGUCAGACAGGGAGCGUUCGAGGGCUGCCCGCCCGAGCUCCCGGGUAGACCGCUCGAGACGUGCGGCAACGCACGUCCUAGAUGGAUGACCGUCACCCGCGCGUGGGCAACCGCGCGCGGGGACAGAACCCGGCGUACAGACCGACUCGUCCG
Molecule: RNase P RNA, 379 nt
Filed under: Antribacter soli
Lineage: Bacteria; Bacillati; Actinomycetota; Actinomycetes; Micrococcales; Promicromonosporaceae
Description: Bacterial RNase P class A
Rfam family: Bacterial RNase P class A
About the family: Ribonuclease P (RNase P) is a ubiquitous endoribonuclease, found in archaea, bacteria and eukarya as well as chloroplasts and mitochondria.
Source: Rfam by way of RNAcentral